UAUCGUAAUAUGUUAAUUUUGGGCUGAUGGUUGAUUGUGUUGAUGAACAGAAUGAUGGAGGGAUAAUAACUCAAGCAACUCAUGCUCCCACUGGGUUGACUCAUCAGCUGACGUCAGGCGGACACGAAUAAGUGAAAGAAUGAGGAAGCUGCAAGAUCUUGUCCCAAAUAUGGAUAAGUAAACGAGAACCGCAGACAUGUUGGAUUUGGCUAUUGAGUAUAUCAAAGAACUUCAUAAUCAAGUUAAGACUCUUUCAGACCGUCAAUGAAAGUGAACAUGUCCACAUAAGCCGAAGUCGUCCUUCUCAAGGCUCCAUAUGUCAACUCACUAAUCCACUAUAAGCUGAUCCUUUACUUUGUUAGCAUUACAAAUUUCAGUCUUAAGCUUAUCGAUAAUAGUUGUUACUUGUAGCUUAAAACCGAUUCAGUUUGAUGUCGAAAGCGGUGCAAUGAAUCUGUUUGAUGUCAAAAACAGUACAAUGUCGUAAGCAUUGGAGAAGUGGAUUUUGAAGCUGAGGUGGCCAGUGACUGGAGCAGCUGCUUGGGAUGUGUAAUGGUUGUCUGCCCGUGUGUUGGGCAUUUAUCAUGACUUACCCUAUGAACGUUGUUUAAAACUGUUUAUUUAUGCUUCCGCUACUUAUUACUGUUUGAACUUGAAACCUUAAACUCUGAACUUGAUAUUUGCUAAUCUUAUGGUUAGUAAGUAUUACUUUUUAUUAUCAGUUUAAUCAUUCAGUAUGAUUGGUGGCUGGAUCCUGGUCAGUCACGCCCUCAAAGCGGGUGUCAUCCGCGGGUGGAUUUUGGGGGUGCGACAGAAACCACUGUUGUAAUCAAAUUGGGCUUGGAUAAUACAGUGGUUGAAACCACUGUUGGGUUAAAAUUGUGGUUUGAAACCACUGUUCAGCUAAAACCGUGCCUUGUGGAGAAAACAGUGGUUGAAACCACUGUUGGGUUAAAACUCUGGUUUCAAAACACAGUUUUAACUCAACAGUGGUUUCAAACACUGUUUUCUCCACAAAACACUGUUUUAACGCAAUAAAAUAUUACCCAAAAGUUGUUUAGACCACUGUUUUCUCCAAGCCCAAAACUGGCCAAACCUCAAGGACAAAAAUGACAUUUUACUCUUCUAGAAUUUUUGUAACCUUUGAAGUUUAUAUGCACAUUUUUUUAAAAAUUUUUUGUUUGAUGAAUUUUUCUUAUUCAUCAACGUCUUUACUAUGUAGAUAAAUGGGUCUGAAGUGGCAUUGCUCUCCUUAAUUAAAAGUGACGAUGAUCUCAGGGUUACAGAAUAUUUUCUAUCACUUCAUGAUAAAGUUCUUGCGGCCGCAGUAGAAGCUGUGAUUGGCAGUUCUCAUAAUCAAAAGAAAAAACAGGGUAUCCCCGGUGCGCUUGUGAAUAUUCUUAAAGGAUUUAAAGGAGGAAAACCUAAUAAGAACAUCAACGUUUCUGAAGAUUUUAAAUAUGGUUUUAGCAAUCUGGAUGGAAUCUUUUCAAAGAAUCCAUUUCCCGAUCCACUUGAAAGUUUCUGAUGAUUUUAAAUAUGGUUUUAGCAAUUUGGAUGGAAGACAUGUGAUGUUAUUCCUUUUUACACUGGAUUUUAUGAUCUUUUCUAUUUGCUUCAUUUUUUUGUUCUUAUUUUGGAUGAAAUUACAUGUGGAUAUUGCAUUAUCUCUUCAUGUUAUACAGGUUUAAGAGAAGAAAAUUAAGAAAAUUGCAAGCAUGAACAUGGACCCUUCAAAAGUUGCUGGAAAGAACAAUAUUGCCUGUUCAAGUGAUUCUUCAAUUAUUAAUUCUUAUCUUGUAAACGAGGGAUGCAAAGAUAAAUAUGUUUCGUAACGUGUCAAUAUGUUU
RNAcentral lists this long non-coding RNA (1850 nucleotides) under Helianthus annuus (common sunflower). RNAcentral describes it as "hypothetical non coding rna". Lineage: Eukaryota; Viridiplantae; Streptophyta; Magnoliopsida; Asterales; Asteraceae. The record is from RNAcentral.